This 481-nucleotide ribosomal RNA is filed under the name uncultured bacterium. Its description in RNAcentral is "partial 16S ribosomal RNA". It matches the Rfam family "Bacterial small subunit ribosomal RNA", at positions 28 to 523 of the family's 1533-position model. The record is from RNAcentral.
GACGAACGCUGGCGGCGUGCCUAACACAUGCAAGUCGAACGGAGAUACGAUUUCGGUUGUAUCUUAGUGGCGAACGGGUGAGUAACGCGUGAACAACCUGACUCUCAGAGGGGGAUAACACUCGGAAACGGGUGCUAAUACCGCAUAAGACCACGACCCGGCAUCGGGAUGAGGUCAAAGGAGUAAUCCGCUGAGAGAGGGGUUCGCGUCCCAUUAGAUAGAUGGCGGGGUAACGGCCCACCAUGUCGACGAUGGGUAGCCGGGCUGAGGGGGUGAUCGGCCACACUGGAACUGAGACACGGUCCAGACUCCUACGGGAGGCAGCAGUGGGGAGUAUUGGGCAAUGGGCGCAAGCCUGACCCAGCAACGCCGCGUGAGGGAAGAAGGCUUUCGGGUUGUAAACCUCUGUCCUUGGUGACGAAACAAAUGACGGUAGCCAAGGAGGAAGCCCCGGCUAACUACGUGCCAGCCGCCGCCGUAA